AGGAGUAUAGUUAAUUUAUAACAUUUAAUUUGCAAUUAAAAAUUAUUUUUAAAAAAUUUCUCUUA
This 65-nucleotide transfer RNA is filed under the name Oncylocotis sp. PJ-2015. Its description in RNAcentral is "tRNA-Ala". The record is from RNAcentral. Lineage: Eukaryota; Metazoa; Arthropoda; Insecta; Hemiptera; Enicocephalidae.